AACGAACGCUGGCGGCAUGCCUAACACAUGCAAGUCGAACGAGACCUUCGGGUCUAGUUGCGCACGGGUGCGUAACGCGUGGGAACCUGCCCUUAGGUUCGGAAUAACUCCCCGAAAGGGGUGCUAAUACCGGUUAAUGUCUUCGGACCAAAGAUUUAUCGCCUUUGGAUGGGCCCGCGUUGGUUUAGCUAGUUGGUAGGGUAAAAGCCUACCAAGGCGACGAUCCAUAGCUGGUCUGAGAGGAUGAUCAGCCACACUGGGACUGAGACACGGCCCAGACUCCUACGGGAGGCAGCAGUGGGGAAUAUUGGACAAUGGGCGAAAGCCUGAUCCAGCAAUGCCGCGUGAGUGAUGAAGGCCUUAGGGUUGUAAAGCUCUUUUACCCGGGAUGAUAAUGACAGUACCGGGAGAAUAAGCUCCGGCUAACUCCGUG
This 433-nucleotide ribosomal RNA is filed under the name uncultured bacterium. RNAcentral's name for it is "partial 16S ribosomal RNA". It matches the Rfam family "Bacterial small subunit ribosomal RNA", at positions 29 to 507 of the family's 1533-position model. The record is from RNAcentral.